This 734-nucleotide long non-coding RNA is filed under the name Cyanistes caeruleus (blue tit). RNAcentral's name for it is "lncRNA (ENSCCEG00000015049.1)". Lineage: Eukaryota; Metazoa; Chordata; Aves; Passeriformes; Paridae. The record is from RNAcentral.
AAAAAUAUAUUUUUAUAUAUAUAUAAAAAAUACUAUAUAUCAUAUAUAUCAUAGUGUGUAUAUAUAUAUAUACAUAUAAUAUAUAAUAUAAAACCUCUUUGGAUCUCAUAUUUCUGUUUAAUUCUCCCUGGUUUGAGGGGAUUAUAGGUUUCAUCAGAUCUUACCAAGCUGUUAAUAAUGAAGAAAUGCUCAUUAUUAAUAGCACGGUAUAAAGUAAAUGGCACUGAAUAUUAUGUUGGGGGCAGAGAAUGACACUGAAAGCUUUUUCUUUAUUACUUGCAGAGGAGAAGAAAGUAAAGAGCACUAAAGUGGAAGCAAAAGUUAAAAAGGAAGUGAAGGAUGGAAAAGGAGAAGCAAAGACGGCAGAGAAGGUGAAGCAGGCAGAGACAAAAACAACAGAAACUGGGCUAAUAAAGGCCAAAACGAAAGUUAAGGAGGAGAAAGCUCUUCAGACUGUUACUAAAUCGGACAAGAAAGGUGCAGGACAUAAGGAAUUCAUACCACCUCGUCUUCUUCUAGAACACAGUCCAAGAAAGAAACCAGCAGCCAUUGAAGAAGAAAAGUCUACUGUGGAACCUAGAGAAGUGAAAAGUAUGUUGCUUUGUUGUUUUUCUUUAUUUUUUCAUUAUCUUCAUGUUAGUUUUAUGCAAGGGACAGGAGUAUAUUUUUUCUUGUAUUUGAAAACAUUCCUAUACCUUAAAUAUUUUUCAAUUAAAGAGAAUACUCUUGCUUAA